This 1078-nucleotide long non-coding RNA is filed under the name Cyanistes caeruleus (blue tit). Its description in RNAcentral is "lncRNA (ENSCCEG00000004543.1)". Lineage: Eukaryota; Metazoa; Chordata; Aves; Passeriformes; Paridae. The record is from RNAcentral.
GUUUUUAGUGAUAAGUUCUCAAUAUUCUCAACAGAAAUUUUACUGCUUUCUUUCCUCACUUCCCAUGGCAAGUAGAAAUAUUAUAACAUGAAAUUCCUGCCCUGAUGAAGGUAAGAUUUUAACAAGCAGACCUGUUAAACUGACACUGCAGAGGAUAUGUCAAUGCAAAGAUGACUUUUGAGGAGCUAUUCACAAGAGCAUGUAAAUUUUAUCCUAUCUCUUACUCCAGAUAGGACAGACAAAGCCUCACCUGUGUAGCCAGUGAAGGCAGGAUUCAGCUCUGCUGCCUUUGUAUUGCAGCUCCUUUGCAGCAUUAUUUGAGAGGAACUAUCAGCCUACAUGUCCACUGAGUGCUUGAGUCAUAUCAGAAGAUAAAUGCAAUUCAAUGUGACAGACUUCUUUGUUUCUAGAGCUACAAACAUUUCAGGUACUGAGGAAUCUUGUUCUUUCUGCUGCAACUACUUCACCUUGUGUUGCCUGUGUGUGAAUCAACAGGACAGUUUGAAUUCAUCAUUGGAUGCACCAGCUUCUGCUUCCUUAGUGCCUCAUUGCUGCUUUUUUUUUUUUUUGUCUUCCAUGUGAUUUUGAGCCUUGGAUUUUACUCUUUUUUUCUUUCCAUUGUCACUUUGCAUGCUGUGUCCCUAAAUGACAUUUUGAUGAAAAUACACAUAUUUUGCAGGCAUUUGUACCCAUUAGCCAGUGUUGCUGUUCACUUUCCUAUCUGCUAUACAAAUUCACACUAAAUGCUCUUAAAACAUUUUUUCUUUUUUGCUACGCUUUUCAUCCACUGUCCGAGAUUUGUGUCAUUUCGCAAGGUGUGGACUAACACAAUAUGUUGUCAUCGUAAUCUAAUAUUUCGACAAUCACAACACAAGUGUAGCCUGCUUGUGUGCCAGCAAGCUGUGCACAGCUGAGUUAGAAGCCUUUUUUUGUCAGUGUUAUCCAGGAUAAUGCCUUCUCCUCACCUUCAAGCUGGUUUUGUAGAUUCGUGUUGUCUGCUCAUUAGAGGGUGGCAGCAUUUUCCUCUGCAUUUGGAAAUCGGCUCUCACUCCUUCCAAAUUAACAUUAUUGUCUGGAU